RNAcentral lists this ribosomal RNA (253 nucleotides) under uncultured bacterium. RNAcentral describes it as "partial 16S ribosomal RNA". It matches the Rfam family "Bacterial small subunit ribosomal RNA", at positions 524 to 776 of the family's 1533-position model. The record is from RNAcentral.
UACGUAGGGUCCGAGCGUUGUCCGGAAUUACUGGGCGUAAAGAGCUCGUAGGUGGUUUGUCGCGUUGUUCGUGAAAACUCACAGCUUAACUGUGGGCGUGCGGGCGAUACGGGCAGACUGGAGUACUGCAGGGGAGACUGGAAUUCCUGGUGUAGCGGUGGAAUGCGCAGAUAUCAGGAGGAACACCGGUGGCGAAGGCGGGUCUCUGGGCAGUAACUGACGCUGAGGAGCGAAAGCGUGGGGAGCGAUCCGG